This 884-nucleotide ribosomal RNA is filed under the name uncultured eukaryote. RNAcentral describes it as "SSU rRNA". It matches the Rfam family "Eukaryotic small subunit ribosomal RNA", at positions 564 to 1469 of the family's 1831-position model. The record is from RNAcentral.
GUGCCAGCAGCCGCGGUAAUUCCAGCUCCAAUAGCGUAUAUUAAAGUUGUUGCGGUUAAAAAGCUCGUAGUUGGAUCUCGGCGGGCAGGGGGUGGUUCGCUCUUCAGCGCUACUGCCCCGCUUUGCCCGUGUGAUUGGCGGAGGUUUCGGGGUGCUCUUCGUUGAGUGACUCGGAGCGCCGUCAGGUUUACUUUGAAAAAAUUAGAGUGCUCAAAGCAGGCUUUUCACGCUUGAAUAUUCGUGCAUGGAAUAAUGGAAUAGGAACUCGUUUCUAUUUUGUUGGUUUUCGGAAAUCGAGUUAAUGAUUAACAGGGACAAUUGGGGGCAUUAGUAUUCAGACGACAGAGGUGAAAUUCUUGGACCGUCUGAAGACUGACUACUGCGAAAGCAUUUGCCAAGAGUGUUUUCAUUAAUCAAGAACGAAAGUUAGAGGUUCGAAGGCGAUCAGAUACCGCCCUAGUUCUAACCAUAAACGAUGCCAGCUAGCGAUCUGCCGAGUUUUUUUUGUAGGCUCCGCAGGAAGCUUUCGGGAAACCAAAGCUUUUGGGUUCCGGGGGAAGUAUGGUUGCAAAGCUGAAACUUAAAGGAAUUGACGGAAGGGCACCACCAGGAGUGGAGCCUGCGGCUUAAUUUGACUCAACACGGGAAAUCUCACCAGGCCCGGACACUGGAAGGAUUGACAGAUUGAGAGCUCUUUCUCGAUUCGGUGGGUGGUGGUGCAUGGCCGUUCUUAGUUGGUGGAGUGAUUUGUCUGGUUAAUUCCGAUAACGAACGAGACUCUGUCCUGCUAAAUAGUUGGGUCGUCCUUCGUGCGAUCCAAGUUCUUCUUAGAGGGACUGGCUGCGUCUAGCAGCACGAGAUUGAGCAAUAACAGGUCUGUGAUG